CCUCUCUCAGGGUUGCACCUGGUGAGUUCCCAGUACUCUACCAGUCUCGACUAUAGGGGGGAGAGUUAAGCAGAGGCCUACCCAUUCCAUUCCUAGCUUGGCCAGUGGCUAGCGAGUGGAAGGCAAUCUGCUACAAAC
This 138-nucleotide small nucleolar RNA is filed under the name Ornithorhynchus anatinus (platypus). The record is from RNAcentral. Lineage: Eukaryota; Metazoa; Chordata; Mammalia; Monotremata; Ornithorhynchidae.